This 464-nucleotide ribosomal RNA is filed under the name uncultured bacterium. RNAcentral's name for it is "partial 16S ribosomal RNA". It matches the Rfam family "Bacterial small subunit ribosomal RNA", at positions 28 to 507 of the family's 1533-position model. The record is from RNAcentral.
GACGAACGCUGGCGGCGUGCCUAACACAUGCAAGUCGAGCGAAUGAAGUUCCUUCGGGAACGGAUUUAGCGGCGGACGGGUGAGUAACACGUGGGCAACCUGCCUCAUAGAGGGGAAUAGCCUUCCGAAAGGGAGAUUAAUACCGCAUAAGAUUGUAGUACCGCAUGGUACAGCAAUUAAAGGAGCAAUCCGCUAUGAGAUGGGCCCGCGGCGCAUUAGCUAGUUGGUGAGGUAACGGCUCACCAAGGCGACGAUGCGUAGCCGACCUGAGAGGGUGAUCGGCCACAUUGGGACUGAGACACGGCCCAGACUCCUACGGGAAGCAGCAGUGGGGAAUAUUGCACAAUGGGGGAAACCCUGAUGCAGCAACGCCGCGUGAGUGAUGACGGCCUUCGGGUUGUAAAGCUCUGUCUUCAGGGACGAUAAUGACGGUACCUGAGGAGGAAGCCACGGCUAACUACGUG